This 273-nucleotide ribosomal RNA is filed under the name uncultured bacterium. RNAcentral's name for it is "partial 16S ribosomal RNA". It matches the Rfam family "Bacterial small subunit ribosomal RNA", at positions 28 to 300 of the family's 1533-position model. The record is from RNAcentral.
GACGAACGCUGGCGGCGUGCUUAACACAUGCAAGUCGAGCGGUAAGGCCCCUUUCGGGGGUACACGAGCGGCGAACGGGUGAGUAACACGUGGGUGACCUGCCCUCAGCUCUGGGAUAAGCCUGGGAAACUGGGUCUAAUACCGGAUAUGACUCCAUGACGCAUGUUGUGGGGUGGAAAGCCUUGUGCGGCUGAGGAUGGGCCCGCGGCCUAUCAGCUUGUUGGUGGGGUGAUGGCCUACCAAGGCGACGACGGGUAGCCGGCCUGAGACGGG